RNAcentral lists this ribosomal RNA (592 nucleotides) under Enterobacter sp. 25S2. RNAcentral describes it as "bacterial SSU rRNA". It matches the Rfam family "Bacterial small subunit ribosomal RNA", at positions 75 to 662 of the family's 1533-position model. Lineage: Bacteria; Pseudomonadati; Pseudomonadota; Gammaproteobacteria; Enterobacterales; Enterobacteriaceae. The record is from RNAcentral.
AGAGCUUGCUCUCGGGUGACGAGCGGCCCACGGGUGAGUAAUGUCUGGGAAACUGCCUGAUGGAGGGGGAUACUACUGGAAACGGUAGCUAAUACCGCAUAACGUCGCAAGACCAAAGAGGGGGACCUUCGGGCCUCUUGCCAUCAGAUGUGCCCAGAUGGGAUUAGCUAGUAGGUGGGGUAACGGCUCACCUAGGCGACGAUCCCUAGCUGGUCUGAGAGGAUGACCAGCCACACUGGAACUGAGACACGGUCCAGACUCCUACGGGAGGCAGCAGUGGGGAAUAUUGCACAAUGGGCGCAAGCCUGAUGCAGCCAUGCCGCGUGUAUGAAGAAGGCCUUCGGGUUGUAAAGUACUUUCAGCGGGGAGGAAGGCGAUAAGGUUAAUAACCUUGUCGAUUGACGUUACCCGCAGAAGAAGCACCGGCUAACUCCGUGCCAGCAGCCGCGGUAAUACGGAGGGUGCAAGCGUUAAUCGGAAUUACUGGGCGUAAAGCGCACGCAGGCGGUCUGUCAAGUCGGAUGUGAAAUCCCCGGGCUCAACCUGGGAACUGCAUUCGAAACUGGCAGGCUAGAGUCUUGUAGAGGGGGGU